GCUAAAAAUCUAGCCUAUAAAUUUUUUAUGCCUCCCAUUUCUUAAUCAAAAUAAAUCAUUUUACCAUUUAAGUAAAGGCGAUUGAAAAAAUUCUUAGAGCCUCAACUAAAGUACCGCAAGGGAAAGAUGAAAUAUUAAUGAAACACUCUA
This 150-nucleotide ribosomal RNA is filed under the name Occidozyga martensii (round-tongued floating frog). RNAcentral describes it as "partial 16S ribosomal RNA". Lineage: Eukaryota; Metazoa; Chordata; Amphibia; Anura; Dicroglossidae. The record is from RNAcentral.